This 2317-nucleotide ribosomal RNA is filed under the name Daphnia dubia. RNAcentral describes it as "LSU rRNA". It matches the Rfam family "Eukaryotic large subunit ribosomal RNA", at positions 42 to 1731 of the family's 3401-position model. Lineage: Eukaryota; Metazoa; Arthropoda; Branchiopoda; Diplostraca; Daphniidae. The record is from RNAcentral.
AUCAGUAAGCGGAGGAAAAGAAACUAACUAGGAUUCCCUUAGUAGCGGCGAGCGAACAGGGAUGAGCCCAGCACCGAACCUCUCGCCCGGUCGACGGUGUGUUGAGGAAUGUGGUGUUCGGGAGGAUCGUGCGCGCCUGUCCGGUAUUUAUCGUCCAAGUCUUCAUGAACGAGGCGAGCAACCCACAGAGGGUGUUAGGCCCGUAGCUUAGACGAGCCGAGACCGUGCAUCGGAUCUCUUCUCCCAAGAGUCGGGUUGCUUGAGAGUGCAGCCCUAAGCGGGAGGUAAACUCCUUCUAAGGCUAAAUAUCGCCACGAGACCGAUAGAGAACAAGUACCGCGAGGGAAAGUUGAAAAGAACUUUGAAGAGAGAGUUCAAUAGUGCGUGAAACCGUUCAGGGGGUUAAACGGGUGAGCCCUCGAAGGUCGAACGAGCCCCCGCUCCCGGCACUUGGUUGCAUGCCUUCGUCGACGCGUCUGCCGUUGAGCUUGCCUCUCGGUUUUUUCGCUCGGCGUCGACCGCAAUAGCCGCGCUGAGGUCCGCAAGUGGGGGGCCAAGUAGGACUCCGCGACCGACUGGGUGUCUGUUAGACGAGGCGUUCGUUAGCGAGUGACUCUCGGUUCGCUUCGGUGACUGGGUUGUUUUCGAGCGCGGCGUCAUUUCCAGCAGUACGGCCCGGUCGUGACCUGUCUCCUCCGCGUUGACGUUGGUGCGAAAUUAAUUUUUCAAGCCUUUGCUCUAUCGCGGAGGCCCAGAGCGGAGAGUAGAAGUCGGAUCUCACCCGACCCGUCUUGAAACACGGACCAAGGAGUCUAACAUGUGCGCGAGUCGUCGAGUCUAUCACGAAACUCGCGAGGCGCAAUGAAAGUGAAGCGGCCCCGAUAAAAAAGGGUGCAUCCGCGAGGGGUGAUCCCGUCUCGAACAGAGCGGGCGCAACCCCUGGGCGUCCAUACGGUCGCGCUGGCUCGGAAAAAAAUUCCUUCGCGGGGGUUUUCGGAAGAGUCGAGUCGUCCGGACGAACCAAGAGCGUACACGUUGGGACCCGAAAGAUGGUGACCUAUGCUUGACCAGGACGAAGCCAGGGGAAACCCUGGUGGAGGUCCGCAGCGAUUCUGACGUGCAAAUCGAUCGUCGGAGUUGGGUAUAGGGGCGAAAGACUAAUCGAACCAUCUAGUAGCUGGUUCCCCCCGAAGUUUCCCUCAGGAUAGCUGGUGCUCGCAAAGAGAACAAACGGAGUUUCAUCCGGUAAAGCGAAUGAUUAGAGGCCUUGGGNUCGAAACGACCUCAACCUAUUCUCAAACUUUCAAUGGGUGAGAAGCCCGGCCUAUAUUUUACUUGAUUGAGGCCGCGGCAAAAAUAUUUUUGAGAAUCUGAGCGCCCAGUGGGCCAUUUUUGGUAAGCAGAACUGGCGCUGUGGGAUGAACCAAACGCCCGGUUAAGGCGCCUAAACGACGCACAUUUCGGAUCCCACGAAAAGGAGUUGGUUGCUAUAGACAGCAGGACGGUGGCCAUGGAGGUCGGAACCCGCUCAGGAGUGUGUAACAACUCACCUGCCGAAGCAACUAGCCCUUAAAAUGGGAGGCGCUAUAGCGUCGUGCCUAUACCGGGCCGUCGGUCGGCAGAGCGAAUAACGUCCGUGUCAGCUCGAAGAGAGCGACGGCGCUGAGGCCCCGACGAGUAGGGGGGUCGCGACGGUGAGCUUUGAAGGGUUGUGGGCGCGAGCCUGCCCGGAGCCGCCGUCGGUGCAGAUCUUGGUGGUAGUAGCAAAUACUCCAGAGGGAUCCUGGAGGACUGACGCGGAGAAGGGUUUCAUGUGAACAGUUGUUGGACAUGAGUCAGCCGGUCCUAAGCCGCAGGCGAAAGUCGACCUAGUGACGGGCGUGCAUCUUUUUAUUUUGUGUUUUUUUUUCUUCUCUCUCUCUGUCUCUCGCGGCGAAACGGCGGUGCUUCGUGGAGUUUGUGCGCGGUUGAGGGGGGCUUCCAAGACUCGUCUCUCUGAGGCGGGUCCGCGAGCUCUUCUUGCGUACGCGUACGCUCUCCGUGGACGCGUCGACGUGGAGUCGCGGGAAGUGGAGCGGGGGGGAUAGAGACGCGAUUUUGAAAAAAUCCACUCUGAAACGCCACACUGGUUAAAGGCGAAAGGGAAUCCGGUCCUGAUUCCGGAGCCGGGUUGCGGCUACGUCCCAGAAUAUAAAAAACGAAUUAACCCUCGUUCGAAUUUCUCGGCGCGGUAACGCGACACAAACCGGAGAAGCUGCCGAGAACCCCGGGAAGAGUUUUCUUUUCUGCUUGAGGGACCGAGACCCUGGAAUCCCGU